GGCGAUCAGAUACCGCCCUAGUUCUGACCGUAAACGAUGCCAACUAGCGAUCCGCCAGUCGACUCAUCGCUCUGGUGGGGAGCUUCCCGGAAACGAAAGUCUUCCGGUUCCGGGGGAAGUAUGGUUGCAAAGCUGAAACUUAAAGGAAUUGACGGAAGGGCACCACCAGGAGUGGAGCCUGCGGCUUAAUUUGACUCAACACGGGGAAACUCACCCGGCCCGGACACCGUAAGGAUUGACAGAUUGAUAGCUUUUUCAUGAUUCGGUGGAUGGUGGUGCAUGGCCGUUCUUAGUUCGUGGAGCGAUUUGUCUGGUUUAUUCCGAUAACGAGCGAGACUCUGGCCUACUAAAUAGUUGACGCAUUGCCACUGUGCGCACAACUUCUUAGAGGGAUUUUCGGUGUUUUCAACCGCACAAAAUUGAGCAAUAACAGGUCUGUGAUGCCCUUAGAUGUCCGGGGCUGCACGCGCGCUACACUGGCAAACGCAACGUGCCUGUCCUGCCCCGAAAGGAGCGGGUAAACCCCUGAAAUUUUGCCGUGAUUGGGAUCGGACAUUGCAACUAUUGUCCGUGAACGAGGAAUUCCUUGUAGGGGCGAGUCAUCAACUCGUCCCGAAUACGUCCCUGCCCUUGUA
Molecule: ribosomal RNA, 635 nt
Filed under: Rotylenchulus reniformis
Lineage: Eukaryota; Metazoa; Nematoda; Chromadorea; Rhabditida; Hoplolaimidae
Description: SSU rRNA
Rfam family: Eukaryotic small subunit ribosomal RNA
Source: RNAcentral